Molecule: long non-coding RNA, 150 nt
Organism: Asparagus officinalis (garden asparagus)
Lineage: Eukaryota; Viridiplantae; Streptophyta; Magnoliopsida; Asparagales; Asparagaceae
Exons: 3
Source: RefSeq, a predicted model, not a curated record
AGCAUUGUUACUAUUUGUUCGUCGCUAAGUUUUGGGAGUAUAUAUUCAACAAGAUCAAGUUAAAUUAAGGAUCAGAUGUACUCCGGCAUGUGUCAUGUAGAGCUGUGUUCAACACCGUCAUGAAGUUAAAUAAGGAUUAGUUAUACCAAG